This 433-nucleotide ribosomal RNA is filed under the name uncultured bacterium. RNAcentral describes it as "partial 16S ribosomal RNA". It matches the Rfam family "Bacterial small subunit ribosomal RNA", at positions 29 to 507 of the family's 1533-position model. The record is from RNAcentral.
AACGAACGCUGGCGGCAUGCCUAACACAUGCAAGUCGAACGAGACCUUCGGGUCUAGUGGCGCACGGGUGCGUAACGCGUGGGAACCUGCCCUUAGGUUCGGAAUAACUCCCCGAAAGGGGUGCUAAUACCGGAUAAUGUCUUCGGACCAAAGAUUUAUCGCCUUUGGAUGGGCCCGCGUUGGAUUAGCUAGUUGGUAGGGUAAAAGCCUACCAAGGCGACGAUCCAUAGCUGGUCUGAGAGGAUGAUCAGCCACACUGGGACUGAGACACGGCCCAGACUCCUACGGGAGGCAGCAGUGGGGACUAUUGGACAAUGGGCGAAAGCCUGAUCCAGCAAUGCCGCGUGAGUGAUGAAGGCCUUAGGGUUGUAAAGCUCUUUUAACCGGGAUGAUAAUGACAGUACCGGGAGAAUAAGCACCGGCUAACUCCGUG